RNAcentral lists this small nuclear RNA (107 nucleotides) under Microcebus murinus (gray mouse lemur). The record is from RNAcentral. Lineage: Eukaryota; Metazoa; Chordata; Mammalia; Primates; Cheirogaleidae.
GCGCUCGCCUUGGCUGCACAUAUACCAAAAUUCGAAAUAUACAGAGAAGAUUAGCAUGGCCCCUGUGCAAGGAUGGCAUGUAAAUUCGUGACGCGUCCCAUAUUUUU